This 577-nucleotide ribosomal RNA is filed under the name Escherichia coli. Its description in RNAcentral is "bacterial SSU rRNA". It matches the Rfam family "Bacterial small subunit ribosomal RNA", at positions 880 to 1457 of the family's 1533-position model. The record is from RNAcentral. Lineage: Bacteria; Pseudomonadati; Pseudomonadota; Gammaproteobacteria; Enterobacterales; Enterobacteriaceae.
GUACGGCCGCAAGGUUAAAACUCAAAUGAAUUGACGGGGGCCCGCACAAGCGGUGGAGCAUGUGGUUUAAUUCGAUGCAACGCGAAGAACCUUACCUGGUCUUGACAUCCACGGAAGUUUUCAGAGAUGAGAAUGUGCCUUCGGGAACCGUGAGACAGGUGCUGCAUGGCUGUCGUCAGCUCGUGUUGUGAAAUGUUGGGUUAAGUCCCGCAACGAGCGCAACCCUUAUCCUUUGUUGCCAGCGGUCCGGCCGGGAACUCAAAGGAGACUGCCAGUGAUAAACUGGAGGAAGGUGGGGAUGACGUCAAGUCAUCAUGGCCCUUACGACCAGGGCUACACACGUGCUACAAUGGCGCAUACAAAGAGAAGCGACCUCGCGAGAGCAAGCGGACCUCAUAAAGUGCGUCGUAGUCCGGAUUGGAGUCUGCAACUCGACUCCAUGAAGUCGGAAUCGCUAGUAAUCGUGGAUCAGAAUGCCACGGUGAAUACGUUCCCGGGCCUUGUACACACCGCCCGUCACACCAUGGGAGUGGGUUGCAAAAGAAGUAGGUAGCUUAACCUUCGGGAGGGCGCUUAC